ACAGACACAGCUGAGCCUGCUUCACCAUCUUCCGUAGUCCCAGGCUGUGCAAAGAGGAGGUAUAUCCAGCUAGUAUACUUUUUCCCUGGCCGAUUCAGUUGGCUAGAGCUCUUCAGGGACCACACUGCAAUUCUGGAUUUCCUGCCAGCCUUUAGGUGCUUCUGGGAAGAAGGAAGGAAAACUUGAAUGUGCUAAGAGAAAUCUGAACACAGCUUAAAUCAAAAGUCUAUCUUGCUAGAAGAGCACUGGAGAUAGAGUCGGAUACGCUUUAAAGGACAAGGGAAAACAGCUCCCAGUGGAUGGUACACACAUGGCAAAAGGCCAAGAGUAGAAGCACCGUCAUUAGGAAAAGGAAUCAGCCAAGCAUCGAACAAACAACUGAGAUCCUGUUGUGCCUAUCACCUGUUGAAGUUGCCAGUCUUAAGGAAGGAAUCAAUUUCUUUCGCAAUAAGAGCACUGGCAAAGACUACGUCUUGUACAAGAAUAAGAGCCGACUGAGGGCAUGCAAGAAUAUGUGCAAGCACCAAGGAGGCCUGUUCAUAAAAGAUAUCGAGGAUUUAGCCGGAAGUUGUUGAAAUGGAUGAAAACAACGGACUUUUGCUUUUAGAACUGAAUCCUCCUAACCCUUGGGACUUACAGCCCAGAUCUCCUGAAGAGUUGGCUUUUGGAGAAGUACAGAUAACAUAUCUCACUCAUGCCUGCAUGGACCUCAAGUUAGGAGACAAGAGAAUGGUGUUUGACCCUUGGUUAAUCGGUCCUGCUUUUGCCCGUGGAUGGUGGUUGCUCCAUGAGCCUCCAUCUGAUUGGCUGGAGAGGCUGUGCCAGGCAGACCUCAUUUACAUCAGUCAUCUGCACUCAGACCACCUGAGUUACCCCACACUGAAAAAGCUUGCUGGGAGAAGACCAGAUAUUCCCAUUUAUGUUGGAAACACAGAAAGGCCUGUAUUUUGGAAUCUGAAUCAGAGCGGUGUCCAGUUGACUAAUAUCAAUGUCGUGCCAUUUGGAAUAUGGCAGCAGGUGGACAAAAAUCUUCGAUUCAUGAUCUUGAUGGACGGUGUUCAUCCUGAGAUGGACACUUGCAUUAUUGUGGAGUACAAAGGUCAUAAAAUACUCAAUAUAGUAGACUGCACCAGACCCAAUGGGGGAAGGCUGCCUAUGAAGGUUGCUCUAAUGAUGAGUGAUUUUGCUGGAGGAGCAUCAGGCUUUCCAAUGACUUUCAGUGGUGGAAAAUUUACGGAGGAAUGGAAAGCCCAAUUCAUUAAAACAGAAAGGAAGAAGCUCCUGAACUACAAGGCUCGGCUGGUGAAGAACCUGCAACCCCGAAUUUAUUGUCCCUUUGCUGGGUAUUUUGUGGAAUCUCACCCAUCAGACAAGUACAUCAAGGAAACAAACACCAAAAAUGACCCAAAUGAACUCAACAAUCUUAUCAAGAAAAACUCUGAUGUGAUAACAUGGACCCCUCGACCGGGAGCCACCCUUGAUCUGGGAAGAAUGCUGAAGGAUCGAACAGACAGCAAGGGCAUCAUAGAGCCUCCAGAGGGGACAAAAAUUUACAAGGAUUCCUGGGAUUUUGAACCUUAUUUGGAAAUCUUGAAUGCUGCUCUAGGAGAUGAAAUAUUUCUUCACUCAUCCUGGAUAAAAGAAUACUUCACUUGGGCUGGAUUUAAAGAUUACAACCUUGUGGUCAGGAUGAUUGAGACAGAUGAGGACUUCAAUCCUUUUCCUGGAGGAUAUGACUAUUUGGUUGACUUUUUAGAUUUAUCCUUCCCAAAAGAAAGACCACAACGAGAACAUCCCUAUGAGGAAAUCCAUAGCCGGGUGGAUGUCAUCAGACACGUGGUGAAGAAUGGUCUACUCUGGGAUGAGUUGUAUAUAGGAUUCCAAACACGGCUCCAGCGGGAUCCUGACAUAUACCAUCACCUGUUUUGGAAUCAUUUUCAAAUAAAACUCCCCCUCACACCACCCAACUGGAAGUCAUUCCUGAUGUGCUGUGAGCAGAAUGGGCCUGUGAUUUUGCAAGAAUGCAAAACCACAUGAAAAUUUCAAGAAUUCACUGAUCUGAUGCAAAAUAAAAAUUUAUCAUUACAUCUUGAACCCAGGAAGCUUACAGCAAAGAGACUAUGCUUUAUGACGUCAGCAAUAGAUAAUUCCACGUUGCCUUUGUGAUUUGUAUAUAUAGCUUACAUUUGUGGAUCACUACAUAGCCAGAUUCAAAAAUAUUUUACUUGUUCCAUCCACAGUUCUCUACAGAAAGAACCAAUGAACCCAAUAGGAACAAAUUCUCUGUGGAAAACAAAGCAUAGCUGUAGUAGAUACGAAUCCAAUCACAGAGGAAACAGGAAGAGAAAAACAUCCAAGACUACAGUGAAAACUGGAAAUGGUCUGUUUUCGUGAUAUUCGUAUGAUUAAGAUGCAAAUUUUUUCUUAGGAAAAUGUGAUUGUUAACUAGCAUUCUGUUUUACAUGUUGACAUUUCUAACACACACACCACUGAUUUGAACUUCAAAAUUUAUUUUCUGAUUAUAUAUGCUAGGUCUGAUUCUGAAGAUACAAGAAUUCAAUGGUGGAAUUUGUCUCCUGAAAUUUCUAGAUUCAUAAUUAGAAGUGUUUAUUACCAACUUCUCACUUAGAUUAACAUCAGUGAUGUUUGAUUAUUCUGGUUAACCGCUCACAUGCAUAACAAUAAUGCUAGAAAUUCAGGAAUUAUAAUUUUGUGAUUUAUACUGUGUGGUAAAUUAUUCAGUUCUCACUGCAAAUAAAUAUAAUGUAUAUCAAUGUAAUGUAGGUCAGA
Homo sapiens (human) is the source of this 2790-nucleotide long non-coding RNA. The record is from Ensembl. NCBI's taxonomy places the organism in Eukaryota, Metazoa, Chordata, Mammalia, Primates, Hominidae.